Molecule: long non-coding RNA, 260 nt
Filed under: Vitis vinifera (wine grape)
Lineage: Eukaryota; Viridiplantae; Streptophyta; Magnoliopsida; Vitales; Vitaceae
Description: long non-coding RNA (VVIN_LNC008067)
Source: RNAcentral
GCACACAUGGGAGAAGAUCCUUGAUGUACACGGCUGCAUAUAUGUGGUGAUAUUCUAUGCAACAGGAAAAAGAGAAGCCUGCAGCGGCACCACGGGGAAAGGAGGAUAGAGUCCAUACACACUGCUAGGAAGGUUAGGAGAGAGGAGGCUGCAAAAAAGGAAGAUUUUUUUUGGAGAAGGAGAACGUCUCACUUGAAGCCGAGCAAUACUUCUCAAAGGCAGGUUCUCCUAGGUGAAAUCACAUGAAAUUUGCAUCUUCU